UUUUCAAUCAGAUCGAAGCCUAUACUUUUUUCAAUCAGAUCCAGAAACGAUCGAAGCCCCAAAACCCCAAAAUCGUUCUCCAAAAUCGAAGAGAAGCCCCAAAAUCGAACGACAUCGUCUACACAAAAUCGAAUCCCCAAAUUCAAAACCCUAAGUGUAUAUGUUUUUGGUUUACGCAUGUUUUUUUGUUUAUUUUGGUUUUAGAUCGAUUGAAGCAUACAAAAUGUCGGAUAGAGUAAAGGAUAGAUGAACCCGAUGUGAUGGAAAGCCAAAGGGAAGUAGAUAAGAAAAAUGGAUUUUGAGGCAAGAAGUUUGCAGCCAAGUGUGAAGGCAAUGCUGCUUGCGAAGUUUCGAGAAUACAAAUCUGAUUUGACCAAGUUGAAAAAGGAAGUUAAAAAACUUGCUUCAGCUAAAGGCGGUCAAACUGCACAUGAAGAGUUGCUCGAGUCUGGAAUGGUCGAUGCUCAUAUGAUCGCAAUGAUGUAGUUUUCAUUGAAGGGAUUACUCGAUCUAACAAAAAGACCCUGACCAACUCUGCAAAAAAGGUCAAGUUAAGUAAGAAUGGGAAUGUAUAAGUUUUCCUGGUUAUGUUUAUUAUCGUGUUUUCCGGUGAUUAACAUGUAUACCUUUCAUUUAUUAUACGAGUAUGUUUUAGGGAGUUCUAGUGGAGCAUGGACAUUCUUCUAAGAGUUUUACCCCAGGAUCAAAUCACUUUUUUGAUUUAGAUGAUUACAUUUUUGAUGAUGAUUAUUCGGCGCUACAAGCCCAUUUUGAUGACAUUAAUUUCCCCAGUGGGAUUGAAGCUUCUGUUCCCUCCUUGCCAGAUCUACUUCAAAUGAAAAAAAUUAUACCAGUAAAUGCCUACUUUUCAUGCACAGUUGGUAGCAAGUCAAAGUCAACCUCACUUGUGCAAUACAUAAGCCAGGAGUGAAGCAGGCAAGAUAGCAUCUCAAUGGUUUUGUAUUAACAUAUAUGUUUCUAUCUAUCAUCCUUUUAUGCUUUCUUCA
Erigeron canadensis is the source of this 1007-nucleotide long non-coding RNA. RefSeq lists it as uncharacterized. The record is from RefSeq and is a predicted model, not a curated record. Lineage: Eukaryota; Viridiplantae; Streptophyta; Magnoliopsida; Asterales; Asteraceae. The transcript has 3 exons.